Long non-coding RNA from Alosa sapidissima (American shad), 361 nucleotides. RefSeq lists it as uncharacterized. The record is from RefSeq and is a predicted model, not a curated record. NCBI's taxonomy places the organism in Eukaryota, Metazoa, Chordata, Actinopteri, Clupeiformes, Clupeidae. The transcript is spliced from 2 exons.
UUGACACUUUAUUCCAAUAUAUUGUUUACAUGAAUAUAUGAGGAAUGUGCAGUGCAGAAGACAUUCUUGACAUAAGAGACUGCAAUGCAAGUGAGGGGCAUGAUAAAUAUGGUUACAUUUUUUUGUCUUCAUGGAAACUGUGGAGAUUUUUUUUUUACUCACCAGAAAGUAAUAAAGUCAAAGAUCACCGCUCAUCUGUCGAGGUGCAGGAUUGGUAGGUAACAUAUAAAAGAUAAGAAAAAUCUGCACAGACUGGAGUGUGCGGACUCAACAGAAAGUAAAAACAACUCAGGGCAGUUCAAAAAUCAAUAGAACAACAAAAUGUUUUACACUUGCAAUUGUAUUAGUAUUAGGUCAGACA